Molecule: ribosomal RNA, 1752 nt
Filed under: Lasiochilus luceonotatus
Lineage: Eukaryota; Metazoa; Arthropoda; Insecta; Hemiptera; Anthocoridae
Description: SSU rRNA
Rfam family: Eukaryotic small subunit ribosomal RNA
Source: RNAcentral
UGUCAGUACAGACUGAUAUUAAAGUGAAACCGCAAAUGGCUCAUUAAACCAGUUUUGAUUUACUAGAGUGAACUUGACUGUUCUUGCAUAACUGUGGUAAUUCUAGAGCUAAUACAUGCAACUAAGCCCUGACCAUCCCUGGAAAGGGCGCUUUUAUUACAUCAAAACCAUUCGCCCGGCUUGUCCGGGCGUCUGCUUGAUGAACCUAGAUAACACAUCAGAUCGCAUGGUCUCAAUACCGGCGACGUAUCUUACAUAUGCCUGACUUAUCAACUGUCAAUGGUAUACUCUGCGUCUACCAUGGCUCUUACGGGUAACGGGGGAUCAGGGUUCGAUUCCGGAGAGGGAGCCUGACAAACGGCUACCACAUCCAAGGAAGGCAGCUUGCACGCAAAUUACCCACUCCCGGCACGGGGAGGUAGUGACAAAAAAUAACGAUACGGGACUCGAUUUGAGGCCCCGUAAUCGGAAUGAGUACACUUUAAAUCCUUUAACAAGGAUCCAUUGGAGGGAAAGUCUGGUGCCAGCAGCCGCGGUAAUUCCAGCUCCAAUAGCGUAUAUUAAAGUUGUUGCGGUUAAAAAGAUUGUAGUUGGUUGUGCGUCCCCCGCAGUCGGUACACUGUUAGUUGGUGACACUGGCAUGUCGUGGAAUGUCCUGUCGGAGGCGGUCGGGCCAUGGGGCCAGUGGGGACUUGUUCCUCAAGGGAACCCAGUUGCUUUCUCUAUCCUACCGCGGUGCUCUUGAAUGAGUGUCGAGGUAGGCCGACACGUUUACUUUGAACAAAUUAGAGUGCUUAAAGCAGGCCAAAAUGUCGCCUGAAUAUUUUUAUGCAUGGAAUAAUGGCACAGGACCUUGGUUGUAUUUUGUUGGUGUUAGGAACCCAAGGUAAUGAUCAAUACGGACAGGCGGGGGCAUUCGUAUUGGGACGUUAGAGGUGAAAUUCUUGGAUUGUCGCAAGACGCACUAGAGCGAAAGCAUUUGCCAAAGAUGUCUCAUAAUCAAGAAUUAUGAGACGCAGCGAUCCGCCGACGUUCCUCCGAUGACUCGGCGGGGAGCUUUCCCCGGGAAACCAAAGCUUUUGGGUUCCGGGGGAAGUAUGGUUGCAAAGCUGAAACUUAAAGGAAUUGACGGAAGGGCACCACCAGGAGUGGAGCCUGCGGCUUAAUUUGACUCAACACGGGAAACCUCACCAGGUCAGGACAUUGGAAUGAUUGACAGAUUGAUAGCUCUUUCUUGAUUCAGUGGGUAGUGGUGCAUGGCCGUUCUUAGUUGGUGGAUCGAUUUGUCUGGUUAAUUCCGAUAACGAACGAGACUCUAGCCUAUUAACUAGACGUUUCCGGUAUCGUAGCUACCGGCGAUGAACAAUCUUCUUAAGGGGACAGGCGGCUCUUAGCCGCACGAGAUUGAGCAAUAACAGGUCUGUGAUGCCCUUAGAUGUCCUGGGCCGCACGCGCGCUACACUGAAGGAAUCAGCGUGUGCGUUCCCUUGGCCGAAAGGUCCGGGUAACCCGCUGAACCUCCUUCGUGCUAGGAAUUGGGGCUUGCAAUUGUUCCCCAUGAACGAGGAAUUCCCAGUAAGCGCGAGUCAUAAGCUCGCGUUGAUUACGUCCCUGCCCUUUGUACACACCGCCCGUCGCUACUACCGAUUGAAUGAUUUAGUGAGGUCUUCGGACUGGCGGUAAGCCUGACCGGCCUCGCCGGUUUUGAUGAACGCUGGAAAGAUGACCUAAACUUGAUCAUUAGAGGAAGUA